Molecule: unclassified non-coding RNA, 5509 nt
Filed under: Pomacea canaliculata
Lineage: Eukaryota; Metazoa; Mollusca; Gastropoda; Architaenioglossa; Ampullariidae
Description: rWD domain-containing protein 2B-like, transcript variant X2
Source: RNAcentral
CAAGCCCUUUUCUUGCCCCUUCCACUACGCAGGGGCUGACCCCGAGUGACCCUCAAAAGUAUUCCGGAAAGAUUUAUUAUCGUGUGGAAGCCGAAGUACCGGCGAUCCUACAACCAACCUGGACCUGGAUCGCUUGGACAUGUAUGUGGCCAACGCCUCAGUGGCGAUGAAGACUUUCAGAAGCGACUUCGCACUCUUCGUCACGUGGGAGAACGUUUCUACUGAAGCAGCCUGUCCUAGCGGGGGGCAAUUGUCCGUCCAAUACAUUCCAGCUGGUUCUCGUGGCCAACACUCAACACACGUUCGCCAUAUUUGGCUACUACAAGCUGGACGUCCCCUACUCUGCCAAUCAACUGGCUGGAAUGAACGGCGGGUAUGGACGGGGCUGGACCGAUGUCAUUCCUUGCUCCGUGGCCUGCGCGAGGGAGACGAAAAUCAUCGAAGGCCGCAUCAGGAAUAUGAUCAACACCUCGGGUAGUGAUGUGGAAGGCCGCUACAUUCUUUUGGUCAGCGGUGAUAUCAUCGUUCGUGGAGGCUGUCUGCCGAGUUCAUUGCUGAAAGCGACAGGUGAGGUGUCUCCCCGGGCGGUGGGGAUGCUUGGUGGAGAGAUGUUGUUAGUGUCUGGAAGCUGCCAGCCACCCGGAUCCAAAAUCUUUUGCGUUUUAACAACAAUACGAUAAGUGAAGGGGUGAUGGAGACAAAUAUGCGUGGACGAUGUCCUGUUCCUAUGCUUAACGUUCGAGGCAGGAUACGGUUGGAUCUGUCCACAGAUAACAGAACGUGGACACACCCCACCGUCAUCACCGUCGUUCUCCCUGGUCGGGUUAAACCAGUUGUGGACAUAGGCAUUGUACCUGCUUGGCAGCAGCUGAAUCCCCAGGAGCUGGUGGUGAAGUGGGACCCCACACUCUUCUCCAACAACAGCCUGGCAACAGUGAACAUCGAGCUUCUUGAGUACAGAGAAAUUAACGGCAAAUCCUGAAUUCCGACCUCUGGUCACAAUUGCUGAACGCCAGAGGAGCAGUAACAGCGAAUACAAAUUUAACCCGGAUACAUUGUCCUGCUCGAGGGAGGACUGUGACAACAGUGUGCUUGGAGUUCUCAAAGUGACGGUUCUACCCGAUUACAUAGAUGCGGCUACACAAAGACAAUUCGUCGCCUUCGGUCCAUUGCCGCUGGGCUGGUACAUCAACUCCGCAAUGGAGAGCAAGCUGGGCAAAGACUGGCCAGCCCAGAAAUGCUCGGCCUGGAGCCAGGAGGACGGUCGACAGACGGGGUGGCUGCAGCAGCUCCUCCCAUGCCCCUGCACGUUGACUCAAGCUCUGGCCGACUGGGGGCGCUGGCAGCCCGACAAUUGGGUGCAACAUGUUUGCCGGAAGUGUUUGCAACUACCAUCAAGGCUCCAAACAUUGCGUGCGCUCUGUGCAGCCAACGUCGGAGGGAGCAGGCAACCAGUGUUUUUACAACAAAGACGGACUGCUACAGUACGCCGCAGACAGUUACCAGGGGUCGACCCCAGACCGCUCGCACAGCUGGGGGGCCGCCCCCUAUGGGAAGCCCAACCUCGUACCCGACUUCUCGCACUGGCAGCAUGACGUCAUCACCUUCUACUACUGCUGUUUGUGGACUAACAACAGGGAGUGCGACCGCUACAUGGAACGGCGACCAACUCGCGACUGCGUCGACUACAAGUCGCCUUCUUACGCAACAGCCUUUGGAGACCCACACAUACAAACGUUUGAUGGAACGAACUACUACUUUGGAGGGGAGGGAGACUUCUGGCUUCUUCAAUCCAGCAGUGUCAACAUUCAAGCCCAUUUUCUGCCUCGUUCUACUGAAGUACUUCAGCUGAAUUCCAGCUUCAUUUACCCCACCGUUAUAAAGUCUGUAGCCAUGCAAUCCACGGGCAGUGACCGGGUGGUCAUAAACCUGGCCCAGCCCACGGGCUGUCCAACCGCAAGCUCGAUGUUCUCAUCAACAAUCAUUAUCGUCGCUUUUUCGACGAUUCCAGUUUGUUCUGGCGGGACUUUAGAGGAGUGUCUGUCAUCAACAACGAGCCGGUCGCGGUGGAUACCAAGGACAGGCAGCACAGCAACUUUACUGUUUUGUUCAAGAACGGGGUGGGCGUGCAAGUGGCGGAACGGCAAGGAAUGAUACACCUAACAGUCGCACUCCCUCCGUCCAGCGAGAGCACAUCAGGACUUCUCGGUACUCGGGAUGGGAACAAAGCGAAUGAUUUCAUGACACCGGAUGGUCAAGUGGUCUCCUCUACGCAGGACAUUGAUAUCUACCGUUCGUUUGCUCUGAAGUGGAAUGUCAGUGAAAAUGGAAUCCUUAUUUCACUUUCCCCGGAACGCAGAAAGUGAAAAAAUUCCUCUCUUCGGUACACCGUCCGAGUUUCCUUACAAGCCCGGUCAGACAAAACCUUCCCAGUACACCGUGUCUAGUGUCUGUGGAAACAGCGAAGCCUGCAAACGAGACUUCUAUGUCACAAAUAAUUCCAGCAUCGCACGUGACACCCUGCAGGCUGAAGCUGCCUUUCAGAGCCUGCGCCAGUCACAGACUGAAGUCCUCUCCUGCGGACUGUUGGACAUUCCCAUGGCCGCCAAGUCCUCCUACAACUACCUGGUGGGAAGUGAAGUGAGACAUCACUGGCUGUCGGCCCAACAACACCAAAGUCGUGUCCAGCGGCCCACAACGCUACGCCUGCAGCUCCAACCGCCAGUGGACUCCAUCCCCCGACAAGAGCCUCUGUGGUUACGUGAAUGAGAGUCAAGCGAGUAGCAUCGGCAUGAUCGUCGGAAUCGUGGUCGCUGUUGUCAUUGUCAUUGUGGUCGUUAUCAUUGUCAUCGUUGUUGUGUAUCGACGUAAGACAAGGACUAAAAGCCUCAGCCCGGAUGAGCAGGAGAAGCCUGUGCCCCUCAGGAGAACCGUAGGGACCGGUGAUACGAAGGUGGAGCCUGGUACAGACGAAAAGCUUUUGAGAGGACUCGUGAACAAAUCAGAGGGGGAGCCGGGGCCGAGACAAUCAGUGCCUGUGUAGUUAAUACACCUGUGUGCGUGUCCUCCUACUGAGUGUAUGCAUGUGCACCUGUGUGUAUGUGCGUGAGAGAGAGAGAGAAAGAUCGCACCUCAUGAUUCUUUUCACCUUCAUACUUAAGCAGAGUGUUUGCUGUUUGCGUAAAGACAGGGAUGAAUGUUUACUUGUACUGCUAUACUUCAGGCAGCAUAAUAAUUCUUGACUUACAAUUAAAGAUAGGCGUAGGAAUAAAUGAAUGGAGAAAAAUGAAAGUUGCAUGUUUACCUCGACUUCAACUGAAGUACACUUUUUAUGUACAUCACAUGACCUUUUUUAAAAAAAAUUGUGAAUAAACUUUGUUGUUGAAAUGUCACUUUUUUCAAUUUAAGAAUAUCUAGUGACCAAAGAUAAAAAAGAGGAACUCGACCAAACUUUUUAAAUUGUACUUGUCUCAACCAUUUCUGCAUUUUUAUAAUGUUCAUGCUUCCUUCAUUUGUUUUGUGUUCCACAAUAAAAGUUAUUGUGUAAUUAUUCAAGCUAAUUUUUUCCUUGAUCUCUUUACUGUGUGAGCAGCAAGGUUGUGCUGCACUGGUUCAGGUUCGCAUGAGUCUAAACCUAUACAUAUAUAAAAAGGAAACGGGCUCGUUCAAGCAGUCUGUAAAUAAGACUUUGCCAUCCACGCCAUUCAUACACUAGUAAAGCUCUCCUAGCGCACGUCUCAAAGGGGACCUGCAAAUGCAUGCCCAGAAAACUAACACCAGGAAAUAAUAAUGCUAUAAUAAUGUAAGCUUUCAAAGCCCUGUAUCUCAACUUAAGCCAUGCUCUCCGCUCAUUACAAACACCGAAACACAGACAAAAUUCCUUUAGCAUCUCUGUAAAGUUGAUGGUAAUGCCAGGUCGUUCUGCCGAAUGUCAUUCAUUGACACUGAUGUCGGCGAGACAGAUCGGCAAGUCAUUUGACUAGAUCAGAAAAGAUCAAUAAGCAGAAAAAUUAAUCAAAUCGUCAGGAGAACGUCCAGAUGAUCAAAAAGCAGAAAUUACAGUAAAAUAUUGAAGCACAUGACUGUAAGGCCCUGAUAAAAAGUCUGUCGCAGGGAUGACUUGUAAGCAUGAAGAAACUGUGACAAUGGUAGCCAGGAAAAGACUAACGGCGAGAAGUGAGUUGAUAUCAGGACAGAGGGAGAAAAAAAGAAAAGCCACAUGUGACUAGACAGCCCAACAGAAUGCCAAUGACGUUAUAAAAUGUACAGGUGGGUACAAUAUGCACUAAAAGCACAAAAAAUCCAAGCAGGAAAUAAAAAUGCGAAGAUGUUUCCUCAUCUGCUAGACGAAGUGACACCUAUCCCUUAAAUUAUAAAGUCGAAUUUAUGUUGCAGACGCUAAACAAGACUAUCAAAGCAACCCAUUUACUGAAAACAAUUAUUUCUACUCACUGAACACUGCACAAUAUGUGUUCACAAUUAACAUGGUACAAUAAAUUACAGUGCAUACAUGUAAAAUGAUUCACGUCACCAGUUUACGAGUAACAUCUCACAAAACUUCCAUAGAGAUACUAGAUAUAAAACAUUAAUACAGAUGAAUUGUUUACAGUGAAAGUAACAGCUAGGAGAAUAAUUACAAAAAUGGAUUGAUAAAACAAUUGAAAGAUUGUGUAAAUCUUUAAAAUUUAUAUUACCCGUUACUACGUUUUAGUGAAAACAAAUAUUGCCUAUAGGACUUUUUCUGAGAAUUAUGCAUGCACGUGACCUUUACCCAAACGAUGGUUUGAUCUCUUUCGGUUUUCAAUUUUGCACAACAAUUGGAGCACAUUUUCAAACUACUGUAUUCAUAUCUCUAGAUGGCGCUUCCUCGAAUAUUCAGAUACAACUGUAACCUUUGACUUCAGAGUAGGUGUGCAUGGCUGACCCACAUAAACCAGAAAAGUCUUCAGUGACAAACGUUUCGCGCACCUACUAUUGCGAAAAAGUCCUUAAUUACUUUAUUGAUUAUCGAAGUUUAUGGUGUCGUUCUAAAAUAGAAGGAUACUGAAGUUGAGUUUUUUCGCAUGUAGCCUGAUUCUCAAUGGUUGCGUUCUAUGUAUUUCUGUCUUACCGUUCUUGGUUCAUAAGACGUACGUGCGCUGCCACGUACGCUUAAAAAAAAAAAAAAGAAAGAAAGUGGGGUAUGAGAAAAUUUAAGGAGACAAGAAACCAGUAGAAAUCUAGAUAAGGUGUCCACUCGUCGUUCACGUGCGUCUAGCACCUAAAGAUGAUGAAAUCUCCUCCUCUGUAUACGUUAUGCAUAACAUCGUAUGUGCUUGUAAAUGACUUGGAAAACAAUCUAGUGUACAAACAGCUUUUGGUAGUGAACCUCGAUUUUCUGAACCCAGUAAUUGAGUAGGAAGAGUUACAGGCCUUUGUGGAUGGAGAAAAAGCAUAUGAGUCUUUGGACAGUCGGGUGGGGUUUACCAUCCGCAUAAAGGUCUCAUCAGCCCCAGUAAAUGAGGUAGAG